Molecule: ribosomal RNA, 492 nt
Filed under: uncultured bacterium
Lineage: Bacteria
Description: partial 16S ribosomal RNA
Rfam family: Bacterial small subunit ribosomal RNA
Source: RNAcentral
AGUGAACGCUGGCGGUAGGCCUAACACAUGCAAGUCGAACGGCCGCACAGUAAGUGCUUGCUCUUACGUGAGUAGAGUGGCGGAAGGGUGAGGUAUACUCCGGAAUAUACAUUUUCGCGGGGGCUAACGUAGGGUAACUUACGCUAAUACCGCAUACAACCUCCUGGUGAAAGCCGGGGAUCUUCGGACCUUGCGCGAUUGUAUGAGCCGAUGUCGGAUGAGAUAGUUGGCGGGGUAAAGGCACACACAGGCCACGAUCCGUAGCUGGUCUGAGAGGAUGAUCAGCCACACUGGAACUGAGACAGGGUCCAGACUCCUACGGGGAGCAGCAGUGGGGAAUAUUGGACGAUGCGCGCAAGCCUGAUCCUGCCAUAUCGCGUGAAUGAAGAAGGCGCUCUGGUUGUAGAGUGCUUUUGGUGGGAGAGAAAAGCAGCUGUUUAAUCCGCCGCUGUUCUGACGGUACCCAAAGAAUAAGCACCGGCUAACUUCGUG